Molecule: ribosomal RNA, 119 nt
Filed under: Oryza punctata
Lineage: Eukaryota; Viridiplantae; Streptophyta; Magnoliopsida; Poales; Poaceae
Source: RNAcentral
GGAUGCGAUCAUACCAGCACUAAAGCACCGGAUCCCAUCAGAAAUCCGAAGUUAUGCGUGCUUGGGCUAGAGUAGUACUAGGAUGGGUGACCUCCUGGGAAGUCCUCGUGUUGCAUCCC